UACGUAGGGAGCAAGCGUUGUCCGGAAUCAUUGGGCGUAAAGCGCGCGUAGGCGGCUCAAUCAGUCUGUUGUGAAAGUCAAAGGCUCAACCUUUGAAUGCCGAUGGAUACUGUCGAGCUAGAGUCCGGAAGAGGCGGGUGGAAUUCCUGGUGUAGCGGUGGAAUGCGCAGAUAUCAGGAGGAACACCAACGGCGAAGGCAGCCCGCUGGGCUAGUACUGACGCUCAUGCACGAAAGCGUGGGGAGCAAACAGG
This 253-nucleotide ribosomal RNA is filed under the name uncultured bacterium. Its description in RNAcentral is "partial 16S ribosomal RNA". It matches the Rfam family "Bacterial small subunit ribosomal RNA", at positions 524 to 776 of the family's 1533-position model. The record is from RNAcentral.